AUUGAACGCUGGCGGCGUGCCUAACACAUGCAAGUCGAACGAUCCCGCAAGGGAGAGUGGCGGAAGGGUGAGUAACACGUGGGAAUCUACCUCCUCGCAGGGAACAACCUCUCGAAAGAGAGGCUAAUACCCAAAAGGGUCAGAAAUGAUCAGAGUCGAAAGGCGUGAGGAGAGGAGCCCGCGGCCCAUCAGCUAGUUGGUGAGGUAAUGGCUUACCAAGGCUACGACGGGUAGGGGAUCUGAGAGGAUGUCCCCCACACUGGAACUGAAACACGGUCCAGACGCCUACGGGUGGCAGCAGUGAGGAAUAUUGGACAAUGGGCGAAAGCCCGAUCCAGCAACGCCGCGUGGAGGAUGAAGGCCUCGGAUUGUAAACCCUUCGGUAGGGAAGAUGGAGCGAGCAAUCGUUCGGACGGUACCGUCCAGAAGCAGCCACGGCCA
Molecule: ribosomal RNA, 441 nt
Filed under: uncultured bacterium
Lineage: Bacteria
Description: bacterial SSU rRNA
Rfam family: Bacterial small subunit ribosomal RNA
Source: RNAcentral